GGGAGGGGUGGUGUGAGAGCGAGUCCCACACCUUGUCAUAGAACUCCUAUAAGGCCUUGAAACUAUAGAAUCUUCUUCCCUUUAGAAUAUGAGUCUAGCUAGUUCACCUAUGCAAGUAGAGGGACAGAAUACAACCACUAAAAUUCCCUCAUGCUGAAGCAAGUCUCAUGUCUUUGACUUGAGGAAGGCAGCCUGAGUUCUGAUGUGGCAUGCUUUUAGUUCAUAUUUAAACAAAUAGAGAGAGAAGGAGAGAGAGGAGGAUGGGGUCUGCUAGAAUGGAGGCUUGGGUAGUUCUUCUGAUGCUUGUAGGACUCUUCUUGCUCCAUUAUCAAACAAGAGUCGGCGCCACUAGCCUUCAGGAUCAGCGGCUGGCAAGAAGAGGAAGAUUUGUGGCAAAGAAAGAAAUGAUGCCUUGGUGGUGGAAUGCAGAUUAUGCUUCAGUUAGGCGGCGGAGACCAAUACAUAAUAGUUUUGAUCCAUGAUUAAUUACUAAUGCCUCCUUGUUCAGGAAAUCUAAGAUAUUUUUCCUCGAAACCUGAGACAACAUGCAGGAGAGGGAAGGGCUGUUUUGAGUUUGUAGUAGUAAUUUGGGAUCUAUAGAUCAAACGUUUUGCAAAGGGUCUGUUGUAAUUAAUGGCUUAUACAGUAUGGUCAUGUUUUCUCAGGUAAGGUCAUCAGGAGUAAUCUAAUCUAUAAGUUUUUUUU
Molecule: non-coding RNA, 705 nt
Organism: Elaeis guineensis (African oil palm)
Lineage: Eukaryota; Viridiplantae; Streptophyta; Magnoliopsida; Arecales; Arecaceae
Source: RefSeq, a predicted model, not a curated record